ACGGUCUCUUACUUUAGAUAAUAUCUUUUCUUUUUCAUUGACAUAAUAGUUAACACAAAACUAGAACCUGCUGAUAGAACCCAAGCAGGAUAUUGUUUAUGGGAUGUGCUUCCUCCUCCAGUCUGUCAAAGCACUUGAGGGAUAAUGCUAGACAUUUAAAAUGAUGGUUCCUGACAGAGUGGUAACUUACUGUCUUUUGUACACAUAGCUUAGAUUUUUCUUCAGAACUUCUACUGAUUAUGUAUUUAUACAUAUUUUAGUGCAUAUAUGCUGAUUCAGUGAAGUAAAGGUAACAUAUUUAUGUUUGGAUGAUCAGAUAUUAAAGUUGCAAAUUUUACUUCAGCCCAAUAUAUUUAUAUUCCCUUUUAAAAGUCUUUAUUGGCAAAACAUAGUUAAAACAGUUUUCUGCAUAUGGCUAGCCAGUUUUCCCAGCACCAUUUAUUAAAUAGGGAAUCUUUUCCCCAAUUCUUGUUUUUGUCAGGUUUGUCAAAGAUCAGAUGGUUGUAGAUGUGUGGUGUUAUUUCUGAGGGCUCUGUUCUGUUCCAUUGGUCUAUGUAUCUGUUUUGGUACCAGUACCAUGCUGUUUUGGUUACUGUGGCCUUGUAGUAUAGUUUGAAGUCAGAUAACAUGAUGCCUCCAGCUUUCACAACCUACAGAAUGGGAGAAAAUUUUUGAAAUCUAUCCAUCUGACAAAGGGCUAAUAUCCAGAAUCUACAAGGAACUUAAAUAAAUUUACAAGAAAAAAAGAACCCCA
Molecule: long non-coding RNA, 754 nt
Filed under: Pan troglodytes (chimpanzee)
Lineage: Eukaryota; Metazoa; Chordata; Mammalia; Primates; Hominidae
Description: long non-coding RNA NONPTRT008861
Source: RNAcentral